UAAAUGCCAUACAAUUGUUGUUAAUGUAAUUUAAUAUAAUUAAUGUUAAUAACUGAAACCUUAUUGGAAGUGUUACUUAAGUUUUAUAUGUUGUGUUGUGUGUCUCUUGAUGGUUCGGAUUAACCCUUUCAUUGCUGUAUGCCUUAAUUCCAAACUGCUAAAUUAAGUGUGCCCAAUCCUGUUCCUGGUGAUCGACUGUCCUGCAAAGUUCAGCUCCAACUCUAAUCAGUCACACCUACCUUUAAUUUUCAAGCAAUCCUGAAGACAUUCAUUAGUUGGUUCAGGUGUGUUUGAGUAGGGUUGGAGCUAAACUUUACAGGACAGUCGAUCGCCAUUAACAGAGUUGGACACCCCUGAGCUAGACGGUUACUGUGUAUGUGCCGCUGGGCACAGCUUUCCUGAUGCCACCGGGGUGGCGUUUGCGCUGACGGCUCGGGCCCGCCAUCGCUGCUUGCAGCUAUAUUCUUAUUAUUAUUAUUAUUAUUUUUUUUUAUUUUUUAAACCUUCCGGGGGUUUUUGGAGGCCUUAACAUACUCAAAAACUCUUGAAAAUUGGCACACACAUUGGAACCUGCGGCCAUCAGGACGCCGCAGAGGCUGGGACCCGGGCGUGGCACAGGGGCUCUACGGCGCCCCCUGGAACACAGUCAGAAAUCUUGAACCAUAGCUCACACAUACUUGCAUGUAUUUAUAUGAAACUCUGUACACUUAUAGAUCUCAUUGAGCCGAACAACUUUCGCGCUCUA
Molecule: long non-coding RNA, 745 nt
Organism: Cyprinus carpio carpio
Lineage: Eukaryota; Metazoa; Chordata; Actinopteri; Cypriniformes; Cyprinidae
Source: Ensembl